UUAGCAACAAAAUGUAACAGCUUCCUUUGCUCCUGGGUAUCUUCUUGAAUCUCAGAAAAUACUUGCUACUUUGUGAGGAAAUACAGAGUGUGGACAUCCUUGUAAUGAUAGGUAUCUGGUUUCUUAAUGCCAACGUAUGGUCUUUCACUCUGAUCCCACACUUUUCUGUGUAGACAAUAACUUUUUGCUUUAACAAUAAAUCAUGGGUAAUUUCUUGAAGACAUUUUAAACAGCAAUUAAACUCCACAUUAAACAUUAAAAAUAGCUCGAAUGAACUGAUGUCAAGGUGGGCAAGUAAUGACAAUGUCAUAGUAGCUUGCCUGGCCCAUAGCUACUAUGUCUCUAUGGAUUAUAAGACAAAUCCUAGUUUCAGAGAUGUUGCAGUGUAGAAAAGAGUGCACUUUAGAAUCAGUGAAAUACAGUAAACUCUACUACAGAAAGUAAUUUGGCUUAGCUAUCACCUCCUCCGGGAAAUCUUUCCUAGCUAUCAUUCACUCUUCCUUUGGAGUUGGGCUAAGCCCCCCUCCUGCUGGUAUUCCUAUAGCACCCGGUGCAUAUCAUCAUGACGUCACUGAAUGCAGAAUAGGGAAGAUGUGCGGUGUCCUAACUAUCUACUUACACAAGCAUCCAGGUUGUUGCAGAAUCAAUGGAGCCAUUCCUUAUGGGUCAAGUGCCAGCCUAGCUGCUGCUUCCUGGAGAAUCUCUCUGCCAAGGCCAAAUGUCUGCUCCUCAUCUCUGGAUCAUUGCUCUUACGUGACAAUGUUGAGUUCUGCAUGUGGGUCCUGCAUUAUAUCUGAGGCAAGGAGCACAGGGCCUCUGCUUUUUUGGUCCCAUCUGGACAAGCUUUCCUUCUCACUUUAUAAAGGAAAUCUUCUCCAGACAGGUAAACAAAGCCCCCUUGGCUGAUCAGACCGUAAACCUGCACGUGCUUCCUCUCUCCUUGUCAGUGAUGGAGGGUCAAAGGUCUCCUACUGUGAUCCUACUCACUUCCAGAACUGAAUCUUGCCACCUACCUGCUCCAGAGCCUCAAUAGUAAUUGAAAUUGCUACCCAUCUAUUGGAUAUCUAAUUAUAGGCCAAACAGUAUGUAAGAAGCCUUACAUAUUUUAUGACAUUCAGUACUUUUAGUAACUCUGCGUCCCCAUUUUGCAGGUAACGAAGCUGAGACUCAGAGGUUUCAACUACACAGUGAGGAGACGGCAGCAUCGAGUUUGUCUGACUCGGAAGGCCUUUCCACCACACAGAUGGUGUCAAUGGAUCUGCUUGAAUCAUGCAUUUUCUUCUAAGCUUUUUCUAGCCACAAAAUGCACGUAAGCAGAAGAAAUGGACUUCCUGUCCUUGAGAAGCUUAUCGUAUUAGUCGAAGACAGGAUUCACACAAAUGGGGCAGUUUGAAAAUGCUCCAUAGGUAUGUUGAAUCCGGUGCUAAACUCAGCACUACAAACCUUACAUAUUGGCAGAGCUUCGAGAAAGGGAAGAAUAUGAGAAAGAAGUCAUUGAGCAGUGGGCUUUUGGGGGGGGAGGAGUGCUCUGAAGAGAGAGGUAAGAGAUGGUGUUGGAGAGGAGGUCAAGGGAGGAAGAGGAGGUAGACAGAGAGGCCAGCCCGUGGAAGAGAAAAUCAAUCUAACCCAAGGAGAGUGGUCUAGGAAGUAGUCGAUAAUAGUGGUAGCGUGGUAGCGGAUCGUGAGGCGGUUGAGGAGGAAUGAGGAAGUCUUGAGAGCUAUGAAGAGGAAUCUAUACUCUGUGGAAACAAAGGACCUCAUGGUAGUUGUGGAGGGCACCGGCAAACGAAAGAAGAGUGUUGGGAAGGGGGAGACAUCAGGAAGAAAGGAAAGGACUCAAGAGAAGAGAGCUGUUAAAACAUGCUUGUGCAAAAUACCAAGGACUGAGAUGAGAGAGAGAGCGAGCUGGAACCACCCUUCCAAAGAAGGACUGGCCAGACGUGGUGAGUAAAUUGAGCAGAUGAGAGAAGGAUGACUUCAUUUGUUUCCAUCAUGUUCAAUAAAGGGGAGGGGGCACAGAUGCGGAGCA
This is a long non-coding RNA of Vulpes vulpes (red fox), 2029 nucleotides long. The record is from Ensembl. NCBI's taxonomy places the organism in Eukaryota, Metazoa, Chordata, Mammalia, Carnivora, Canidae.